CCUACGGGAGGCAGCAGUGAGGAAUAUUGGUCAAUGGACGAGAGUCUGAACCAGCCAAGCCGCGUGAAGGAUGACUGCCCUAUGGGUUGUAAACUUCUUUUAUAUGGGACUAAAAUGUUCCACGUGUGGGAUUUUGUAUGUACCAUCUGAAUAAGGAUCGUCUACCUCCGUGCCAGCCGCCGCGGUAAUACGGAGGUGCCGAGCGUUAUCCGGAUUUAUUGGGUUUAAAGGGAGCGUCGGUGGAUUGUUAAGUCGGUGGUGAAAGUUUGCGGCUCAAGCGUUAAAUUGCAGUUGAAACUGGCAGUCUUGAGUACAGUAGAGGUGGGCGGAAUUCGUGGUGUAGCGGUGAAAUGCUUAGAUAUCACAAAGAACUCCGAUUGCGAAGGCAGCUCACUGGUCUGCAACUGACACUGAUGCUCGAAAGUGUGGGUAUCAAACAGGAUUAGAUACCCGUGUAGUC
Molecule: ribosomal RNA, 460 nt
Filed under: uncultured bacterium
Lineage: Bacteria
Description: partial 16S ribosomal RNA
Rfam family: Bacterial small subunit ribosomal RNA
Source: RNAcentral